AGUGAACGCUGGCGGUAGGCCUAACACAUGCAAGUCGAACGGCAGCACAGUAAGAGCUUGCUCUUACGGGUGGCGGGUGGCGGACGGGUGAGGAAUACAUCGGAAUCUACUUUUUCGUGGGGGAUAACGUAGGGAAACUUACGCUAAUACCGCAUACGACCUACGGGUGAAAGCAGGGGAUCUUCGGACCUUGCGCGAUUGAACGAGCCGAUGUCGGAUUAGCUAGUUGGCGGGGUAAAGGCCCACCAAGGCGACGAUCCGUAGCUGGUCUGAGAGGAUGAUCAGCCACACUGGAACUGAGACACGGUCCAGACUCCUACGGGAGGCAGCAGUGGGGAAUAUUGGACAAUGGGCGCAAGCCUGAUCCAGCCAUACCGCGUGGGUGAAGAAGGCCUUCGGGUUGUAAAGCCCUUUUGUUGGGAAAGAAAAGCAGCAGGUUAAUACCCCGCUGUUCUGACGGUACCCAAAGAAUAAGCACCGGCUAACUUCGUG
RNAcentral lists this ribosomal RNA (492 nucleotides) under uncultured bacterium. Its description in RNAcentral is "partial 16S ribosomal RNA". It matches the Rfam family "Bacterial small subunit ribosomal RNA", at positions 29 to 507 of the family's 1533-position model. The record is from RNAcentral.